AUGUGAAAUCUAUGGGCUCAACCCAUAAACUGCAUUUGAAACUGUAGAGCUUGAGUGAAGUAGAGGCAGGCGGAAUUCCCCGUGUAGCGGUGAAAUGCGUAGAGAUGGGGAGGAACACCAGUGGCGAAGGCGGCCUGCUGGGCUUUAACUGACGCUGAGGUACGAAAGCGUGGGUAGCAAACAGGAUUAGAUACCCUGGUAGUCCACGCUGUAAACGAUGAUUACUAGGUGUGGGGGGUCUGACCCCUUCCGUGCCGGAGUUAACACAAUAAGUAAUCCACCUGGGGAGUACGGCCGCAAGGUUGAAACUCAAAGGAAUUGACGGGGGCCCGCACAAGCAGUGGAGUAUGUGGUUUAAUUCGAAGCAACGCGAAGAACCUUACCAGGUCUUGACAUCCAACUAACGAAGUAGAGAUACAUUAGGUGCCCUUCGGGGAAAGUUGAGACAGGUGGUGCAUGGUUGUCGUCAGCUCGUGUCGUGAGAUGUUGGGUUAAGUCCCGCAACGAGCGCGACCCUUGCUAUUAGUUGCUACGCAAGAGCACUCUAAUAGGACUGCCGUUGACAAAACGGAGGAAGGUGGGGACGACGUCAAAUCAUCAUGCCCCUUAUGACCUGGGCUACACACGUACUACAAUGGAUGUUAACAGAGGGAAGCAAGACAGUGAUGUGGAGCAAACCCCUAAAAACAUUCUCAGUUCAGAUUGCAGGCUGCAACCCGCCUGCAUGAAGAUGGAAUUGCUAGUAAUCGCGGAUCAGAAUGCCGCGGUGAAUACGCUCCCGGGCCUUGUACACACCGCCCGUCACACCAUGGGAGCCGGUAAUACCCGAAGUCAGUAGUCCAACCUCGUGAGGACGCUGCCGAAGGUAGGAUUGGCGACUGGGGUG
Molecule: ribosomal RNA, 886 nt
Filed under: uncultured organism
Description: SSU rRNA
Rfam family: Bacterial small subunit ribosomal RNA
Source: RNAcentral